This is a long non-coding RNA of Platichthys flesus (European flounder), 1127 nucleotides long. RefSeq lists it as uncharacterized. The record is from RefSeq and is a predicted model, not a curated record. NCBI's taxonomy places the organism in Eukaryota, Metazoa, Chordata, Actinopteri, Pleuronectiformes, Pleuronectidae. The transcript has 4 exons.
AGGGGGUGGGGGGCUAGUAUGUAGUGGUGGGGGAUAGGGAGAGACUUUACAGGAGUUUUCAUGUUCGACUAUUAAUAACGUUAUUGAACAAUUAUUCAAGGACGGCUGGCGAGUCUUAGCGAGAAGACGGCGUCCGAGUCAAUGGUGAACGGUGUUCGCACGGCAGGCUCGCAAGCACAUCUGUUCACGGUGCUAGGCUACAUCACGUAGCAUGCCAGACGGACCCAUCACAGAUGCGCACACAUGGCACGCAGCUUUCUAUGAAAACACUGCGACCUCACUACAAAAAGUACAGGCACACAGAAAACUGUGCUGCACUGAUGUCGGUGUUGGGACCUCAGCUGUAAGAGGCCUCGCUUGGAGGAGGGAGAGGACAACCCAAGUUGUUCAAAUUACGUGGAUAACCUGUUGGACCUCAUCUUUCACGAGGUUACUCAGGACCCGGCCCCAUAUGUGAAUGAGGUGCUGAAGAUCUCAAAACCUGAGGAUCUCUCUGCCAAGUAUGAGAAACCUGACUAGCAGGAAGUUAUAGCCAGCUAUGUGAGCAUCAGGGAACACUCUGCGUACCUGGAGCACCACGCAGGAGGGCAUGACCACCCUGAUUCUCUGGCCCAGAUGGCCUCAACACCAGCUAACAAAGCUUCUGUACGCCAAAUAACUGUAACGGCUGAGCAAAGUUUACAUUGUAUUGUAGCAUAUUCAGCUCUAACAUGGUUAUAUAUGUUCUAUAUUCAGCUCUAACAUGAUUAUAUACAAUGAUGGCAUGUUACUGUUGUAAAUUCAGCUAAUGGAACUUUCUAACAUGUGUAUAUACAAUGAUGACAUGCUACCCUCCUAAGUUUUGAGUUUGAGUUUUUCGUCCCGCUCUUUGGAAUGAUCUAUGACCUAUCGUACAGUAUCUGACCUGCUUAGGGAGGAGCAAAGAUUUAGCGGUUGACUUCAACUUGAAGUUCCUAAAAACAUGUCCAAAUUUAGGCAUAGACCCUAUGUGCUACGUCAUUUUAUCUAUAGUUCUUUGUUCUUUCUUUGUUUACCUCUGUCCCAGCCAGUACAUUUAAUAACUGUUUAAAGAGGUCUGUGGCAUUCUUUCUAGCAAUCUUUCUGGCAAUAAAAGUUUAUAGAAACAG